Molecule: long non-coding RNA, 1528 nt
Organism: Glycine soja
Lineage: Eukaryota; Viridiplantae; Streptophyta; Magnoliopsida; Fabales; Fabaceae
Exons: 3
Source: RefSeq, a predicted model, not a curated record
CCCUCCCCCCUAUCUCCAAUUAAAAGACAUGUUAAGUGGAAGGUUGCUCGCACCAAGGCUUAUGACAAUAUGACAUCUAGUCGGCACAGGAAAUAUCAGAUAAAAUAGACUCGUUAGAAGAGCAGGUUACACAAGGUAGCUUUGUACCCUAUGGUUGUGACGACAUACUCAACACUGCCAUUGGGCGACCUGACCAUGGGGGUCACGUUCGUGCAGCAGGGUCAGGUGUGACUAUUACUCAGUACUAUGGAAGGGCAUCAUGUACAUGCAGUAACUCGUCCACAUCCAUCAACCAACAACAAUUAGAUGAAGUUCUUGCAAGGAUUAAGGAAGACAUGAGUAGUUAGAUUAGGGAAGAAUUGAGGAGUCAGCUAGAAGAGGAAAACAAGAAGAGCUUGGAAAAAAUGACUAUGGCAUUGAAAGAGACCAUUAAAAUAGAGUUGUCACAAAAAGGAUCCCCGGGCUUACCCCCAAUUGAGCUGGACAUACAACAAUUAGGUGCUCGUGUCAGCAUAAAGGGAAGUAAUGCUGAAACCAAUGUGCACCCUUCAGGGGAAGAUGAUGCUGAUGUCAUACCAAGUAUGGGAUUGUAUGUGCAACGUUAUGAUCGUACACACUUGGUGGCAUUGAGAAAAAUAUUACAGGGGGGUUCCACCAUACACAGUGUGGCUUAUGCAUAUGAUGUGGUAAGGGUCAGUGUUGAAAAAGUCAUCGAUGCUAACGCUGAAGUUCUGUAUCCCACCUCAAAAAUUUAGUAUGUCAGGCAGGCCCUUGACACAUUCAUUACAUGGCCCACACAGCUUGUCAAAGUUGUAUCACAUGAGGAUGCACAAAUUACUCCAUACAAAGUGGCUGCACAUGUGCCAACACCGACUAAUGUGGACGCAGAUGAUUCGAUGCGUGGGAUGAUAAAGUUGAGUUUUGAUAUUUACGACAAGCCAAUAGAAAUCAAGUUUGAUGGGAGUAAAUUUGGAAUUGUAGAUGGAGCUACAUCGAUAUUCCUAACAUAUUCUGAUGUUAGUGAAAUAAUAGCAAGUGACAAAAGUUUGAACAUAUCUGUACAACAAUUAUGGAUGAUGUAAGUCAAAUCCUUAUUUUAUUUGUUCCUUAUUCAAUCUAUAUACAUGAUCCAGUCCAUUAAUUUCAAAUGUCAUCAAUAGGUAUAUGGAUGAGUGGAGUCAAAGCUUGGGUCAUGGUUUCGUGUAUGCAUUCCUUGAGCCACAACCCUUGAACAUUUCAAAGGAUAGACGUGAUGAAUGCCAACAAUAUAUUGAAAGAUAGCUUAAGGAAUCCCAACGAGAGGUGUACCUCGGAGCUUACUUCACAUCAAUAAGUGAUGUUUAACAAUAAUACUUUAACCGAUGUUUGUGUUAUACGUAUGUAAUGUGCAUGAAAUGCAGGGCAUAUUGGCAACUGGUAGUUUUGUGUCCUAGGCAACAUGAUGUUGUUUGGUUGUGUUCGUUACGUAUAAAACCUGAUAUUCAUAUCAAAGCCGCAAUUAACAGGUUAAAUCAUAACAUAUAACUUU